UACGGAGGGGGCGAGCGUUAUUCGGAAUUAUUGGGCGUAAAGGGCGCGUAGGCGGCUGUACAAGUCAAAGGUGAAAUCCCUCGGCUCAACUGAGGAACUGCCUUUGAAACUGUACGGCUUGAGGCCGGGAGGGGGUAGCGGAAUUCCCAGUGUAGCGGUGAAAUGCGUAGAUAUGCGGAGGAACACCGAUGGCGAAGGCAAUCCCCUGGGCCUGCACUGACGCUCAUGCACGAAAGCGUGGGGAGCAAACAGG
RNAcentral lists this ribosomal RNA (253 nucleotides) under uncultured bacterium. Its description in RNAcentral is "partial 16S ribosomal RNA". It matches the Rfam family "Bacterial small subunit ribosomal RNA", at positions 524 to 776 of the family's 1533-position model. The record is from RNAcentral.